ACCUGUUCUGCAUGAUGCUCCAGACCAGCAAACUCCUCAGAGCACUCCAAAGACAAAUCAGUCUUCUGUCACCCACUCCAGAAGUGUUCUUCCAGAGGUGUCCAACACCAUUUUCCAAGUUGAUGGUGUGGACUGGACUAAACAAGCUGA
Molecule: non-coding RNA, 150 nt
Organism: Cyanistes caeruleus (blue tit)
Lineage: Eukaryota; Metazoa; Chordata; Aves; Passeriformes; Paridae
Source: RefSeq, a predicted model, not a curated record